GCGGGAAUAGCUCAGUUGGUAGAGCAUCAGCCUUCCAAGCUGAGGGUCGCGGGUUCGAAUCCCGUUUCCCGCUCCA
Molecule: transfer RNA, 76 nt
Filed under: bacterium
Lineage: Bacteria
Also listed under: 7 other names
Description: tRNA-Gly
Rfam family: tRNA
About the family: Transfer RNA (tRNA) molecules are approximately 80 nucleotides in length.
Source: RNAcentral